Molecule: long non-coding RNA, 351 nt
Filed under: Salmo salar (Atlantic salmon)
Lineage: Eukaryota; Metazoa; Chordata; Actinopteri; Salmoniformes; Salmonidae
Description: lncRNA (ENSSSAG00000113472.1)
Source: RNAcentral
AAAAACAAUAAUAAUGAAAUAUCACAUUUACAUACAGUACCAGUCAAAAGUUUGGACACACCUACUCAUUCAAAGAUUCUUCAAAGUGGCCACCCUUUGCCUUGAUGAUAGUGUAGCUUUGCACACUCUUGGCAUUCUCUCAACCAGCUUCAUGAAGUAGUCACCUGGAAGGCAUUUCAAUUAACAGCAGCAGACUGUUCCUCGGUGGAAAAGGUUAAGAUGUUGUGUUGAGUGCGCCGGGCAGGAUGCCUGGUUCUUCCAUGAUUCCUCCAUGCGAGGCCCAAGGGACGGGCCCCCAGCCUGAAACUAGCUGACAAGGCCACUUUGCCAGUAGGUCAUUGUAAAUGUGAA